CAAGAGGUUUGUGCAGCAGACAGUCUAGAAUGAAGAAAAGACCAUAAUUUUUCACAGCCCCGAAAAGUUUACCUGAAAUUUCUGGGAUUUUGGAACAGGUUUGUGCAGAAAGAGAAAACCCAUGCAGACAUAGGAAGAACAUGCAAGCUGGCACACAGGCAAUUAUCCGAUGACGGAAUUGAACUCGGGUAUCCAACACUGCACUAAAUAAAUACACGCCUUGUUGACUGAUAGUCCACUUGAACAAUGACAUCUUGACCAGGUCACAGUCCAGCCUGAAUUCUGGUGCAUGUGAGUUUGGAUGUAUAUCACGAACCAUUCCCUGGACUUUGAAUGCAGCCAUAAAGCCUCCUGUGUUUUGACCCUAAAGAAUAUGCUGUGGAUCACUUCUAAAACAGGACUUCAGAAAGAGAGUUUGGAGAAAUACAGGGCCGCUUAUUUUCAAAAGGGAAAAGAAAAUAAGAAAAUUAAGAAUGAUUUCCAUUAUGAAAAAGGAGAGGGGGCAGUAAAAAUAAUUCAGUUCACCUCUCAUUUUUGCUCAGUGACUGCAUUAUACAUAACAGCACAG
Molecule: long non-coding RNA, 568 nt
Organism: Stegostoma tigrinum
Lineage: Eukaryota; Metazoa; Chordata; Chondrichthyes; Orectolobiformes; Stegostomatidae
Exons: 4
Source: RefSeq, a predicted model, not a curated record